Molecule: transfer RNA, 84 nt
Filed under: Candidatus Woesearchaeota archaeon CG10_big_fil_rev_8_21_14_0_10_34_8
Lineage: Archaea; Nanobdellati; Candidatus Woesearchaeota
Description: tRNA-Leu
Rfam family: tRNA
About the family: Transfer RNA (tRNA) molecules are approximately 80 nucleotides in length. Their secondary structure includes four short double-helical elements and three loops (D, anti-codon, and T loops).
Source: RNAcentral
GCGGACGUACCGAAGUGGUCAAACGGGACAGACUCAAGAUCUGUUAGCUUAGUGCUUUCGCAGGUUCGAAUCCUGCCGUCCGCA